CAGGCCUAACACAUGCAAGUCGAACGAAGGCUUCGGCCUUAGUGGCGCACGGGUGCGUAACGCGUGGGAAUCUGCCCUUGGGUCUGGGAUAACAGCGGGAAACGGUUGCUAAUACCGGAUGACGACGAGAGUCCAAAGAUUUAUCGCCGAGGGAUGAGCCCGCGUUGGAUUAGGUAGUUGGUGUGGUAAAGGCGCACCAAGCCGACGAUCCAUAGCUGGUCUGAGAGGAUGAUCAGCCACACUGGGACUGAGACACGGCCCAGACUCCUACGGGAGGCAGCAGUGGGGAAUAUUGGACAAUGGGCGCAAGCCUGAUCCAGCCAUGCCGCGUGAGUGAUGAAGGCGUUGUGCGUUGUAAACUUCUUUUACCAGGGAAGACACCUCAUUAUUCUUAAUGAGUCGACGGUACCUGAGGAAUAAGCACCGGCUAACUCCGUGCCAGCAGCCGCGGUAAU
This 455-nucleotide ribosomal RNA is filed under the name uncultured bacterium. RNAcentral's name for it is "bacterial SSU rRNA". It matches the Rfam family "Bacterial small subunit ribosomal RNA", at positions 43 to 524 of the family's 1533-position model. The record is from RNAcentral.